GGCCAGGACAGGAACGCAGCAACGGU
This 26-nucleotide non-coding RNA is filed under the name Gymnodinium catenatum. The record is from RNAcentral. Lineage: Eukaryota; Dinophyceae; Gymnodiniales; Gymnodiniaceae.